GUCAAGUUAGUUUAAUUAAAACAUCAGCCUGUGGAUUUGGAAAUGAAAGAUUUGUUUCACUUGACC
This 66-nucleotide transfer RNA is filed under the name Tritia vaucheri. RNAcentral describes it as "tRNA-His". It matches the Rfam family "tRNA". From Rfam's summary of the family: Transfer RNA (tRNA) molecules are approximately 80 nucleotides in length. Their secondary structure includes four short double-helical elements and three loops (D, anti-codon, and T loops). The record is from RNAcentral. Lineage: Eukaryota; Metazoa; Mollusca; Gastropoda; Neogastropoda; Nassariidae.